Arachis ipaensis is the source of this 387-nucleotide non-coding RNA. The record is from RefSeq and is a predicted model, not a curated record. NCBI's taxonomy places the organism in Eukaryota, Viridiplantae, Streptophyta, Magnoliopsida, Fabales, Fabaceae.
ACGACAUGAUUAAGCGGGUCUUUCACUAUGAGGACGAUGCCGGAGGAAAAAUAAAGCGCGAUAUUAUGAAGAGGAUAGGAAAGAACUGGAAGGAUACAAGGCACAACUUGUAUCAUAAGUGUUACAAAGAAAUAAGUACUUAUGAGAAAAAUCUUGAGCAUCGCUCGAAAGGAAUAGAAGAAAAUGAAUGGAAAAAGUUCAUUGACUAUCGCCAGAAGGAAGAAACAAAGAAAAAGUGUAAACAGAACGCUUUAAAUCAGAGCAAGCAACUUUACACACAUACUGGGGGCUCCAAAACAUUGGCAAGAAAAAAAAGAUGAAGAGGAGAAAGAGCUAGGAAGGCCCGUUGGUAGAGGAUAGUUGUUUAUCAUGACUCAUAAGAAAAAA